Long non-coding RNA from Oreochromis aureus, 1224 nucleotides. RefSeq lists it as uncharacterized. The transcript has 8 exons. Lineage: Eukaryota; Metazoa; Chordata; Actinopteri; Cichliformes; Cichlidae. The record is from RefSeq and is a predicted model, not a curated record.
UUGUGGAAAUCCUGUUUGGCUUUUUGUCAUUUUAAUUCUCUUUUCUGUUUUCCAGAACAGUUCUCCACAGUCACUGUCCACAUGGGUCAGUGGGACCAAGAAGCACUCUGCUAAUGUGUGGACUCUGACCAGCAACAUCCAGCAAGACCCAGAGAGCGUUUUCUAUCUCCCAGCUGGAGUUUUUUUGUUUGUCUGUGACUGGAGAGUCAGAUUUUUGUUGAGGCUGGAGGAACAGCCUCACACUUGCAGAGGUUAAUACACUCUACUGAUCCCUGAUGGGAGAAUCAUCACCUCUGCCAACAAAGAGGCCUGGUGGAUAUUUGUUUGCAGUCUGAUGAUGGGACACCAUGCUCUGCAUCUUCAAAUCUUUUUGCAGGAUCAGAAAACAAAACCAGGAGGCCUGUAAAUGUUUCUUCUCCAAUUGGAUGAUGAUAAGACUGUGACAUGGGAUGCCACCUUUAGUCUUGUGAUGAAGCAAAGCUCAGGAAGAAGUGUGAUUAAAUUGUACCCACAUGUGUGCUGCUGAGAAGGAUGUACAGGGGCACCUGCUGCCAAAUCCAAGCCUCCUCAGCAACUUCAGGUCUGUCAGCGUGCUGAGGUCACAGAAACAAGAAAAGCAGCUUGACUUCAGAGUGUUGUUUACAGUUUUCUGUCAUCAUGAUCUCCCCUGAAGUUUAUCACUAUUAUACAAGCAAUGGUGAUGGUGUGGAGAGACGGUGGUGUUUCCUCAGAAGAACUAGCAGAGUCACAAAGGGCACGAGUCCUUCUCACCACCUUGACUUGCUGACUGAUGCUCGUCUGCACUGCACAGAGGAAAUCAACUGACCGAGCAGGAAUGGAGGAAUGGAAUCAAAGGGAGAAGUUUUUGAUGUUUUUGUAAUGAUGUAAGUAAAUCUCCAGUUUCUGGGUGAGGGAGAGAGGAGUCAUCAUCCAGGUAAAGUGACGUGGAUCAGUGGAUACACUUGUCUCCCCUUUAAAGGAGACACUAGAGAGAGACGAUCCGAGUCAUCAUAAAAUAUGGGCAGGAUAUCACUAUUGGACUGUCUAACCUGCCGGAGCAGUACUGAAUGACCACCACACAUGAGCAUGUUCCUGCAACAUUCAGCAGCUUUGCUUUUGUGUCAAAUGUCAAACAGCUGGAGAGGAGACUAAACCAGUGUACUGGGAUGUUUCACCAACACGUGCCAGACGCUGUAACUUCAUGGUUUCAUCACCAGAGACAGC